Molecule: unclassified non-coding RNA, 874 nt
Filed under: Hevea brasiliensis (rubber tree)
Lineage: Eukaryota; Viridiplantae; Streptophyta; Magnoliopsida; Malpighiales; Euphorbiaceae
Source: RNAcentral
CUCCAUAUAACUUGUUGGAAGUAAACUAGCAGCAUCCGAUUAUAAUGGGACUAAACACAAUGCCAAUGAUCCAAAGCAACCAUUGAUACAAAAUUCAAUUAUUCUGAAGAGAAAGAUAAUCUACUUAGGCACAAUAAAAAUUCAAUAAUGAUCUACCUAGGAGCAUAAGACCUCAUACUGCUCCAAGGAAACUUUGCUGGUGCAGCGCCAACAUCACGACUUUCUCCACCACGAUCGCGGCCAACAUCUGAACGCUGUCCACUACGAUGGUCACGGCCACGACCAAAUCUCAUCUCUGACCGAUUCCUUCCAUCUUUCUUCUCGUCAAGCCAAUGCGUCUUCUUAGGUUCAUCAUCCUCAACAAUGCUAGACUUGGAUUUCUUGCUCAUAUUCUUCUUUUCCUCUUGGAUCACUCCGAUAGGGAAAAGGUCGGGCGAUAUAGAUAAUGGAUUCCUAAGAGUAACAUAAGCUUUUUUGUAGUCUGGUUUAGCAAUUAACAGCCCACCUCUCUUUUUCUUCUUUCCAUCCAUGUUAAGGGUUUGGACCUUUUCAACUUCAAAACCGUAGAGAGACUCCAAAACCCUUUUUAUCUCAAUCUUGGAAGCAGAGGGGAUGGUUUUGAGGGAGAUCUCAGUGAUGUUGGAGAAAGAGGAAGGCAUGAGAAGUUUAAUUGGAAGAUUUGCGAAGUUCACAACUCUUCUUCCCAAUCUACUCCCCAUCACAAUUAUACGAAUCACGUUUGUCAGUGAAAACUGUAUUCUCUAUUUCUUCAGCUGGAGAAGUCUGAGUUCAAAAAUCCAAUAUAUGUAGAAACACGCAACGAAAGCACAGAUCUGCAACUAUUCGCCCGAAAAUGCAGAGAAAUGAAGGAAGG